UUAAAAAAAUGAUUGAACCCCAAAAAAUAAAAAUGAAAGGAGGGAAAGGGGGUCACCCUUCUUUUAUCAUUUGAGCCAUGGGACCCAAAAAUCUCAUAGUUCCCUUUUCUGAUCCUCUCCUCCAUUUCUCACGGCGGCAUCAAGGGUGAGAAGCGGCGAUGGUGACGCCUCAAUGGAAGUUUUGUGCCCAGCGGCGGCAACAAAAGGGACGACGGCAAGUCACUGGUAAUCCGGCGGCUAGAUCUCUUCUCCUCUAUCUCGUUUCUCCUUAGCGACGGUGGUGUUCUCUCCGGUGACGGUUUCGGUGGUUCAUGAUUGGAAACCGGCCGACUAGGGUUUACGGUUAAAAGGUGGAGCGAUGGUGACCAAACACGUCGAGGAUGAAGCGGCAAUAUAUGUUUCUUGGUCUUCGUAGGAGCCUUCACUCCAUCGACUUCAUCGUCACCGAGAUCUAAGCUGCUAAGGAUGGAGAUACCAAAAUUGUGGCUUAUAAAGAGCCAUGCUCUUGGUAAUUUGGGAGUGUUGUUGAAGCAUGGAUUGUGACUGUUUGAACACUAGUAAGCUGUUGAUUAUGCUGAAUGCUAGAUAGAGAUAUUUGCAUCAUGAAAGGUUGCAUGACAGGUUGCUUAAGUUGAUGUUGCAAUACCAUGUCUCUGGGAGAAUAAUAUUCCUUCUCUAGUUGUUGCCGCUGAAACUGUUCUCGCAGCUGAUAUGGCUGUUGAGAUGGGAUGAGUUGUGAUGAAGAUUGUCUUUGAAGUGGUGGUGGUGGUAAAGGAAGCCGCGAGUUGUAUAUGUAAUUGGUCAAUAAGAGUUGAGUUAUGUUUUGUGUAGCUAUUUAAUCUUGCAUGAUCAGUCAUUGUCCUUUUGAUGAUAUUAAUUAUUGUUAGUAAAUCGUGCGUGUAGUAUGGGUGCAAUUUGUUAACCCAUAAGCUUCAAUGUAUGUUACAAACCAUAUGAUUGAGUACCCCUACUGUCAUGUAAACAUUGGUGUAUAUCCAAGUUAGCCUUCCUGCAAGUUUAUUUUUUGAAAAUUGGGUUCCUCCCAUUAAUCUCAUUCUCCUCUUUU
Lupinus albus (white lupine) is the source of this 1066-nucleotide non-coding RNA. The record is from the annotation of a GenBank genome assembly. Lineage: Eukaryota; Viridiplantae; Streptophyta; Magnoliopsida; Fabales; Fabaceae.